CAAACCCGCUCAUACAUAUUAUAUGGUAUUGAUGGAAGUGGACCGUGGUUAUCAAUAAUGUGCCCGGAUCACCCCAUUGAAAUGUAUAGGCAGGACAGUAAACCUCUGCAAUGGACUUAGUAACUGUUGUGAAAACAUAGACCAGUCCUUUGCCCGGUUGCAGCCUGGCCUCGAUGGACCUCUCCAUCCAAAAUGAACUCUG
RNAcentral lists this unclassified non-coding RNA (202 nucleotides) under uncultured Tuberaceae. Its description in RNAcentral is "sequence contains ITS2". The record is from RNAcentral. Lineage: Eukaryota; Fungi; Ascomycota; Pezizomycetes; Pezizales; Tuberaceae.